ACGCUAGCGACAGGCUUAACACAUGCAAGUCGAGGGGCAGCACAGGUAGCAAUACCGGGUGGCGACCGGCGCACGGGUGAGUAACGCGUAUGCAACUUGCCUAUCAGAGGGGGAUAACCCGGCGAAAGUCGGACUAAUACCGCAUGAAGCAGGGGCCCCGCAUGGGGAUAUUUGCUAAAGAUUCAUCGCUAAUAGAUAGGCAUGCGUUCCAUUAGGCAGUUGGCGGGGUAACGGCCCACCAAACCGACGAUGGAUAGGGGUUCUGAGAGGAAGGUCCCCCACAUUGGUACUGAGACACGGACCAAACUCCUACGGGAGGCAGCAGUGAGGAAUAUUGGUCAAUGGGCGCGAGCCUGAACCAGCCAAGUCGCGUGAGGGAUGAAGGUUCUAUGGAUCGUAAACCUCUUUUAUAAGGGAAUAAAGUGCGGGACGUGUCCCGUUUUGUAUGUACCUUAUGAAUAAGGAUCGGCUAACUCCGUGCCAGCAGCCGCGGUAAUACGGAGGAUCCGAGCGUUAUCCGGAUUUAUUGGGUUUAAAGGGUGCGUAGGCGGCCUUUUAAGUCAGCGGUGAAAGUCUGUGGCUCAACCAUAGAAUUGCCGUUGAAACUGGGAGGCUUGAGUAUGUUUGAGGCAGGCGGAAUGCGUGGUGUAGCGGUGAAAUGCAUAGAUAUCACGCAGAACCCCGAUUGCGAAGGCAGCCUGCCAAGCCAUUACUGACGCUGAUGCACGAAAGCGUGGGGAUCAAACAGGAUUAGAUACCCUGGUAGUCCACGCAGUAAACGAUGAUCACUAGCUGUUUGCGAUACAUUGUAAGCGGCACAGCGAAAGCGUUAAGUGAUCCACCUGGGGAGUACGCCGGCAACGGUGAAACUCAAAGGAAUUGACGGGGGCCCGCACAAGCGGAGGAACAUGUGGUUUAAUUCGAUGAUACGCGAGGAACCUUACCCGGGUUUGAACGCAUUCGGACCGAGGUGGAAACACCCUUUCUAGCAAUAGCCGUUUGCGAGGUGCUGCAUGGUUGUCGUCAGCUCGUGCCGUGAGGUGUCGGCUUAAGUGCCAUAACGAGCGCAACCCUUGCCACUAGUUACUAACAGGUAAAGCUGAGGACUCUGGUGGGACUGCCAGCGUAAGCUGCGAGGAAGGCGGGGAUGACGUCAAAUCAGCACGGCCCUUACAUCCGGGGCGACACACGUGUUACAAUGGCGUGGACAAAGGGAAGCCACCUGGCGACAGGGAGCGAAUCCCCAAACCACGUCUCAGUUCGGAUCGGAGUCUGCAACCCGACUCCGUGAAGCUGGAUUCGCUAGUAAUCGCGCAUCAGCCAUGGCGCGGUGAAUACGUUCCCGGGCCUUGUACACACCGCCCGUCAAGCCAUGGGAGCCGGGGGUACCUGAAGUCCGUAACCGCGAGGAUCGGCCUAGGGUAAAACUGGUGACUGGGGCUAAGUC
RNAcentral lists this ribosomal RNA (1447 nucleotides) under uncultured organism. Its description in RNAcentral is "16S ribosomal RNA". It matches the Rfam family "Bacterial small subunit ribosomal RNA". The record is from RNAcentral.